CCCCUUUUGAAUCUUCUGCUAUUUCAUGCAGCUCAUAAUGUGAAACCACAAGGUGGCUCCUGCAGUCAUGUGAUAUGAUGGAAACAGUGGAAAAGUUCUUGACAAUCCUCCCCUACAACUUACAAAUUGAAUGCCAUUUGCGGACUGCCUUCUGACAAGGUAUAUGAAAUUAGAGUACAGCAAUAGCUACGUACAUACAGGGCACAAGGCAAAGGAAAUUGCAAUCAAAAUCCAAUAAUUAGAAGAAUGGAUCUCAGCAGCCAGUCUUUCAAUUUGCCUCCAGGGGCCUGCAAUUCAUCUGAGAAAUCAGCAAUGUUGCUGCCAGCAGCACCACCACCAGCAUACCAGGACAAUCCUGCUGGAUAUCCUCACUCCUUUCCAAGCCAGCCAAUCCCCCAGGGCCCCUACACCCAGGGGUCGUAUCCAGGACAAACUGUGGUCGCUGUACAGCCUGCAGUUUUUGUGACUGCUGCUCCACUGGCCAAUCCAGUGCCAGAUUACUUGGGUUACUCCAUCUUUACCAUGCUGUGCUGCUGUUUACCUCUGGGAAUUGCUGCGCUGAUUUACUCCUGCUCUACUCGAGAUGCCAACUACUCAGGACAUCGAGAAUUAGCUGAGAGGAGCUCCAAAACGACACUCAUCCUGAAUCAUGUCAGCCUUGGUAUUGGCCUCCUUUUCACUGUAUUGUUUAUUAUCUAUGAGUUUGUGUUGGUUAAAAAUAUGAAUCGGUAUCCAUAACUGUUAGUGCUGUCAUGGUUGGAUGCUGAUUAUACAAACAAAUUUGAUUUUCUUAAUUUUAAAUGUUAUUUGCUUAAUGUGUCAAUAUUCAUACAGUUAAAAAAACUAUGUAAAGGCUGAUUUAAAAGCUUAUACUUGUUUUUGUUCAUCAUAGAAUUGCAUUUUAAGUCAUUACUAACAGAAAUAUAUUCAUAGUGCAUGAGCUUCAUUUUAUAGCAAACUGUAACUGUUUUAUUUUCUCUUUACAUCUAUGAUGUUUUGUUUAGAUCUUUUGCUUAUCUUGUGCGUGGCUGUGGUAUUCUUUAUUUAUGUUUUUAUUUGUUUACGUAUAUUUUAAUUAUGCAUGUACAUAUUUGUAUGGACAUAAAUCAAUAAAUCCAUAAUCCAAAUUGUUAAAAGGCACUAUAUAAAUAAAAAAUAUAAUUAUACAUUUCAUUAUACAUUGUCAUUUUAUUAUACAUUUCAAUCUACCUAUACCUAGAUACCCACCCGCCCGUAUUCUCUCAGAUUUUUAACACAAUUUUUAACAUAAAUGUUUUUCAUUUUAUGCAUUGUGACAGAUUUUUCAAAACC
Cyprinus carpio carpio is the source of this 1311-nucleotide long non-coding RNA. The record is from Ensembl. Lineage: Eukaryota; Metazoa; Chordata; Actinopteri; Cypriniformes; Cyprinidae.